Molecule: ribosomal RNA, 383 nt
Filed under: Providencia sp.
Lineage: Bacteria; Pseudomonadati; Pseudomonadota; Gammaproteobacteria; Enterobacterales; Morganellaceae
Description: bacterial SSU rRNA
Rfam family: Bacterial small subunit ribosomal RNA
Source: RNAcentral
CGAGCGGUAACAGGGGAAGCUUGCUUCUCGCUGACGAGCGGCGGACGGGUGAGUAAUGUAUGGGGAUCUGCCCGAUAGAGGGGGAUAACUACUGGAAACGGUAGCUAAUACCGCAUAAUCUCUCAGGAGCAAAGCAGGGGAACUUCGGUCCUUGCGCUAUCGGAUGAACCCAUAUGGGAUUAGCUAGUAGGUGAGGUAAUGGCUCACCUAGGCGACGAUCCCUAGCUGGUCUGAGAGGAUGAUCAGCCACACUGGGACUGAGACACGGCCCAGACUCCUACGGGAGGCAGCAGUGGGGAAUAUUGCACAAUGGGCGCAAGCCUGAUGCAGCCAUGCCGCGUGUAUGAAGAAGGCCCUAGGGUUGUAAAGUACUUUCAGUCGGG